UGGGGAAUUUUGGACAAUGGGCGCAAGCCUGAUCCAGCCAUGCCGCGUGAGUGAUGAAGGCCCUAGGGUUGUAAAGCUCUUUCACCGGUGAAGAUAAUGACGGUAACCGGAGAAGAAGCCCCGGCUAACUUCGUGCCAGCAGCCGCGGUAAUACGAAGGGGGCUAGCGUUGUUCGGAUUUACUGGGCGUAAAGCGCACGUAGGCGGACUAUUAAGUCAGGGGUGAAAUCCCGGGGCUCAACCCCGGAACUGCCUUUGAUACUGGUAGUCUUGAGUUCGAGAGAGGUGGGUGGAAUUCCGGGUGUAGAGGUGAAAUUCGUAGAUAUUCGGAGGAACACCAGGGGCGAAGGCGGCUCACUGGCUCGAUACUGACGCUGGGGUGCGAAAGCGUGGGGAGCAAACAGG
RNAcentral lists this ribosomal RNA (404 nucleotides) under Actinomycetes bacterium. Its description in RNAcentral is "Actinobacteria bacterium partial 16S ribosomal RNA". It matches the Rfam family "Bacterial small subunit ribosomal RNA", at positions 355 to 776 of the family's 1533-position model. Lineage: Bacteria; Bacillati; Actinomycetota; Actinomycetes. The record is from RNAcentral.